GCUUGUCUCAAAGAUUAAGCCAUGCAUGUCUAAGUAUAAGCAUUAUACAGUGAAACUGCGAAUGGCUCAUUAUAUCAGUUAUAGUUUAUUUGAUAGUCCCUGCUAUUUGGAUAACCGUAGUAAUUCUAGAGCUAAUACAUGCACAAAGCAGCCCUCACGGGUUGUGUAUUUAUUAGAUGGAAACCAAUGCGGGGCAACCCGGAAUAUGGUGAUUCAUAAUAACUUUCGGAUCGUUUACGAUGCAUCAUUCAAGUUUCUGCCCUAUCAGCUUUGGAUGGUAGGGUAUUGGCCUACCAUGGCUUUAACGGGUAACGGAGAAUUAGGGUUCGAUUCCGGAGAGGGAGCCUGAGAAAUGGCUACCACAUCCAAGGAAGGCAGCAGG
This 382-nucleotide ribosomal RNA is filed under the name Chromulina chionophila. RNAcentral describes it as "partial small subunit ribosomal RNA". It matches the Rfam family "Eukaryotic small subunit ribosomal RNA", at positions 30 to 432 of the family's 1831-position model. Lineage: Eukaryota; Chrysophyceae; Chromulinales; Chromulinaceae. The record is from RNAcentral.